This is a non-coding RNA of Cymbomonas tetramitiformis, 73 nucleotides long. NCBI's taxonomy places the organism in Eukaryota, Viridiplantae, Chlorophyta, Pyramimonadophyceae, Pyramimonadales, Pyramimonadaceae. The record is from the annotation of a GenBank genome assembly.
GCCAGAGUAGCUCAACGGCAGAGCGCUCGUCCGGUAUGCGAGAGGUCGUCACGGGCUCGAUCCCGGCCUGGCU